Molecule: ribosomal RNA, 293 nt
Filed under: uncultured soil bacterium
Lineage: Bacteria
Description: partial 16S ribosomal RNA
Rfam family: Bacterial small subunit ribosomal RNA
Source: RNAcentral
AGAACGAACGCUGGCGGCAUGCCUAAUACAUGCAAGUCGAACGAACACUUCGGUGUUAGUGGCGCACGGGUGCGUAACGCGUGGGAAUCUGCCCUUGGGUUCGGAAUAACAGUUGGAAACGACUGCUAAUACCGGAUGAUAUCGAAAGAUCAAAGAUUUAUCGCCCAGGGAUGAGCCCGCGUAGGAUUAGCUAGUUGGUGAGGUAAAGGCUCACCAAGGCGACGAUCCUUAGCUGGUCUGAGAGGAUGAUCAGCCACACUGGGACUGAGACACGGCCCAGACUCCGUACGGGA